UUGACCUCAAAUCAGGUAGGACUACCCGCUGAACUUAAGCAUAUCAAUAAGCGGAGGAAAAGAAACUAACAAGGAUUCCCCUAGUAACUGCGAGUGAAGCGGGAAAAGCUCAAAUUUAAAAUCUGGCGGUCCUCGCGGCCGUCCGAGUUGUAAUCUGGAGAAGCGUUUUCCGCGUCGGACCGUGUACAAGUCUUCUGGAAUGGAGCGUCGUAGAGGGUGAGAAUCCCGUCUCUGACACGGACCGCCGAUGCUUUUGUGAUACGCUCUCGAAGAGUCGAGUUGUUUGGGAAUGCAGCUCAAAACGGGUGGUAAAUUCCAUCUAAAGCUAAAUAUUGGCGAGAGACCGAUAGCGAACAAGUACCGUGAGGGAAAGAUGAAAAGCACUUUGGAAAGAGAGUUAAACAGUACGUGAAAUUGUUGAAAGGGAAACGUUUGAAGUCAGUCGCGUCGGUCGAGACUCAACCUUGCUCUUUUGCUCGGCGCACUUCUCGGCCGACGGGUCAGCAUCAAUUUCGACCGUCGGAUAAAGGCCGAGGGAAUGUGGCAUCUUUCGGGAUGUGUUAUAGCCUUCGGUUCGCAUACGGCGAUCGGGAUUGAGGGACUCAGCGCGCCUUCAUCGGUCGGGGCUUCGGCUCACGUUAACGC
Molecule: ribosomal RNA, 645 nt
Filed under: uncultured fungus
Lineage: Eukaryota; Fungi
Description: eukaryotic LSU rRNA
Rfam family: Eukaryotic large subunit ribosomal RNA
Source: RNAcentral